ACCCACAUUAGAAAAUCAAGUGUAAUCCAAUCAGGAGGUGAAGAGAGGCUUACGAAAGCAAUGUAUUAGAGAGGAAAGACCAGAGCAAGAUUUUGAAGAGAUAGCUUCUCUGGGACAUGAAGCCUGGAUGAAGAAGCACUGUGCAUAGACUCCAGGGGAAAAUGAAGGAAGUGACAAAGGGAGCAUUCACUCUUCUGCAUUGGAGAUUGGAUUUCCCGACAUGAAAUUAUAAACUAAGUAAGAAUGCUGAGUACAGAAGGAUCCAAAGGUAGGUCUAUGACACAGGAUGUACACACAGGCUCAGUAAUGUAAACCUUU
This 318-nucleotide long non-coding RNA is filed under the name Homo sapiens (human). RNAcentral describes it as "HSALNT0182696". The record is from RNAcentral. Lineage: Eukaryota; Metazoa; Chordata; Mammalia; Primates; Hominidae.